UCCGGCUUAUCACCGGCAGUCCCCUUAGAGUGCCCAACUAAAUGAUGGCAACUAAAGACGGGGGUUGCGCUCGUUGCGGGACUUAACCCAACACCUCACGGCACGAGCUGACGACAGCCAUGCACCGCCUGUCAGGGGCCCUUACGGACACCGUAUCUCUACGGCUUUUCCCCUGAUGUCAAGUCCAGGUAAGGUUCUUCGCGUUGCAUCGAAUUAAGCCACAUGCUCCGCCGCUUGUGCGGGUCCCCGUCAAUUCCUUUGAGUUUUAGCCUUGCGGCCGUACUCCCCAGGCGGGGUGCUUAAUGCGUUAGCGUCGGCACGGAAAGGGUUGAAGGCCUCCCCACACCUAGCACCCAACGUUUACGGCUGGGACUAC
This 376-nucleotide unclassified non-coding RNA is filed under the name uncultured Actinomycetes bacterium. RNAcentral describes it as "uncultured actinobacterium contains 16S-23S intergenic spacer region". The record is from RNAcentral. Lineage: Bacteria; Bacillati; Actinomycetota; Actinomycetes.